This 520-nucleotide ribosomal RNA is filed under the name uncultured Glomus. Its description in RNAcentral is "SSU rRNA". It matches the Rfam family "Eukaryotic small subunit ribosomal RNA", at positions 569 to 1092 of the family's 1831-position model. Lineage: Eukaryota; Fungi; Glomeromycota; Glomeromycetes; Glomerales; Glomeraceae. The record is from RNAcentral.
AGCAGCCGCGGUAAUUCCAGCUCCAAUAGCGUAUAUUAAAGUUGUUGCAGUUAAAAAGCUCGUAGUUGAAUUUCGGGAUCAAUAUGUUGGUCGUGCCUUGGUACGUACUGGCAUUAUUGAUUUCUACCUUCUGAAGAACCUCGAUGUCAUUAAUUUGGUGUCUUGGGGAAUCAGGACUGUUACUUUGAAAAAAUUAGAGUGUUUAAAGCAAGCUAACGCUUGAAUACAUUAGCAUGGAAUAAUGAAAUAGGACGUUCGAUCCUAUUUUGUUGGUUUCUAGGAUUGACGUAAUGAUUAAUAGGGAUAGUUGGGGGCAUUAGUAUUCAAUUGUCAGAGGUGAAAUUCUUGGAUUUAUUGAAGACUAACUACUGCGAAAGCAUUUGCCAAGGAUGUUUUCAUUAAUCAAGAACGAAAGUUAGGGGAUCGAAGACGAUCAGAUACCGUCGUAGUCUUAACCAUAAACUAUGCCGACUAGGGAUCGGAUGAUGUUAAUUUUUAAUGACUCAUUCGGCGCCUUAAC